Mangifera indica (mango) is the source of this 450-nucleotide long non-coding RNA. RefSeq lists it as uncharacterized. The transcript has 3 exons. Lineage: Eukaryota; Viridiplantae; Streptophyta; Magnoliopsida; Sapindales; Anacardiaceae. The record is from RefSeq and is a predicted model, not a curated record.
UGGUGUUGAAGGUAUUAUGCUACAUGCCUCUGGAUCGUUACACCACCUCAACAAUUUGGUCUUAUUGUUGAAACUGGGAGUACUAUUACCUAAGUCCCCUGUGCUACUUGUGAGCAGUGCGGCAGGCAUCAGGAUCCCAAAUUCGAGCCUGAGUUAUGAAGCACGUAUCAACCUGUAAAAUGCAAUCUGGACUGCAAUUGUUACCAUGACAGGGUACGACGUCUUUACAAGUGACAGUAUGCUGAGAGGAGUUCAAGCAGUGGUGUUCAUUCUCAUUAUGGAAUGGUGGGAUGGAUAUUGGCUGGGAUGCAAACAUGGUCUUUGCUCAUUCAGAGCCUCUGUGCGGACUACUUUAUGUGAUUCACAAAUUGCUGCACCAUUGAAACCUGAAGAUUGUCUUCCUAGAGAAAAUCUGAUGGAAGUACAAAGUCCAUGAGCUCAUUAGAUUAG